UACGAGGGUCCCAAGCGUUAUCCGGAAUUAUUGGGCGUAAAGCGCAUGUAGGCGGUUUGUUAAGUCUGGUGUGAAAGCUCAAGGCCUAACCUUGAAAUUGCAUUGGAAACUGGCAAACUAGAAUACUGGAGGGGUAAGUGGAAUUCCAUGUGUAGCGGUGGAAUGCGUAGAUAUAUGGAGGAACACCAAUGGCGAAGGCAGCUUACUGGACAGUUAUUGACGCUGAGAUGCGAAAGCGUGGGGAGCAAACAGG
RNAcentral lists this ribosomal RNA (253 nucleotides) under uncultured bacterium. RNAcentral's name for it is "partial 16S ribosomal RNA". It matches the Rfam family "Bacterial small subunit ribosomal RNA", at positions 524 to 776 of the family's 1533-position model. The record is from RNAcentral.